RNAcentral lists this long non-coding RNA (581 nucleotides) under Monodelphis domestica (gray short-tailed opossum). RNAcentral's name for it is "lncRNA (ENSMODG00000031552.2)". Lineage: Eukaryota; Metazoa; Chordata; Mammalia; Didelphimorphia; Didelphidae. The record is from RNAcentral.
UUACAAUGGACAGCACAUUGGAAUGAUUGGCUGCGCAUUCGGAUGGUUUAAAAAAGCAAAUAGUAUUGGCUGACCCAAAACACUCAGCAGAAUCCUCAGCACAUAUUUGACUAGGUUCCUCCCCAUAGCCCACAUACCAUGUUGUUUUCUCAUUACUGCUCCUCUUUUAGGCUAGCUGCUGAUUGGAAUUUUUGUGCAAGAUUCAUCCCUUCAUGGAGCUUUCAGACAAGGCCACUCAGAAGCCGCCUCAGAGUCGCCCCAAGGCUACAGCCUACCUGGAGAAAGCUAUGGUCCAUUCAGUCACAGAGCUGGACAGGAAUUAGGUGCCAUCAUCCUCGUUUUACAAGAAAGGAAACGGAUGCAGAGAGGUUGAGACAUUUGCUCAAGAUCAUAUAGCUGGAAGAUCACCACUAGGAUGCCUCUUUGGGGAGAAUCCUCAGAGCCAGUUUCUUUGCUACAUAAGGAUGUAGGACCUUUAAGGUGUCCCCCAAUUCCAUCAUCUCCUUAGUGACCAGACUGGGCUCAGAACAACUUUGGGUUAUUUCCAUAAAUAAAAUGUUCUUUCUGAGAAAGGAGACUCA